RNAcentral lists this transfer RNA (83 nucleotides) under Lachnospiraceae bacterium. RNAcentral describes it as "tRNA-Leu". It matches the Rfam family "tRNA". From Rfam's summary of the family: Transfer RNA (tRNA) molecules are approximately 80 nucleotides in length. Their secondary structure includes four short double-helical elements and three loops (D, anti-codon, and T loops). RNAcentral also lists the same sequence under 1 other name. Lineage: Bacteria; Bacillati; Bacillota; Clostridia; Lachnospirales; Lachnospiraceae. The record is from RNAcentral.
GCCGGUGUGGCGGAAUGGCAGACGCACCAGACUCAAAAUCUGGCGAUGGCAACAUCGUACGAGUUCAAGUCUCGUCACCGGCA